GGUGCACUGUGGACGAUGAGUCAGGGCUAGGGGCACCAGGACUUGGGCGUGCAGGACGCCAGGACUUGGGCGUGCGGGACGCCAGAGCUGGGUCAGAGCUCGAGCCAGCGGCGCCCGGAGAGACUCGGAGAUGCAGGCGGCUCGGAUGGCCCCGAGCUUGGGGCGGCAGCUGCUGAGGCUCGGGGUCGGAAGGUCUGUGUGUGACAAGUGGGACGGUGGGCAGCGGCCCUGGGCACCGGGCCAGGACUGAACUCCCACUCCCCACAGCUCGCGGCUCACGGCGCUCCUGGGGCAGCCCCGGCCCGGCCCUGCCCGGCGGCCCUAUGCCGGAGGUGCCGCUCAGCUGGCUCUGGACAAGUCAGAUUCCCACCCCUCUGACGCUCUGACCAGGAAAAAACCGGCCAAGGCGGUAGGUAGCCCCGAGGCCAGGUGGACCUUAGCCAGACCCAACCAGAGCCCUGAAAUUCGCCUCUCUCUGCCCAGGAAUCUAAGUCCUUUGCUGUGGGAAUGUUCAAAGGCCAGCUCACCACAGAUCAGGUGUUCCCAUACCCGUCCGUGCUCAACGAAGAGCAGACACAGUUUCUUAAAGAGCUGGUGGAGCCUGUGUCCCGUUUCUUCGAGGAAGUGAACGAUCCUGCCAAGAAUGACGCUCUGGAGAUGGUGGAGGAGACCACUUGGCAGGGCCUCAAGGAGCUGGGGGCCUUUGGUCUGCAAGUGCCCAGUGAGCUGGGUGGUGUGGGCCUUUGCAACACCCAGUACGCCCGUUUGGUGGAGAUCGUGGGCAUGCAUGACCUUGGCGUGGGCAUUACCCUGGGGGCCCACCAGAGCAUCGGUUUCAAAGGCAUCUUGCUCUUUGGCACAAAGGCCCAGAAAGAAAAAUACCUCCCCAAGCUGGCAUCUGGGGAGACUGUGGCCGCUUUCUGUCUAACUGAGCCCUCAAGCGGGUCAGAUGCAGCCUCCAUCCGAACCUCUGCUGUGCCCAGCCCCUGUGGAAAAUACUAUACCCUCAAUGGAAGCAAGCUUUGGAUCAG
Molecule: small RNA, 1031 nt
Filed under: Pongo abelii (Sumatran orangutan)
Lineage: Eukaryota; Metazoa; Chordata; Mammalia; Primates; Hominidae
Description: retained intron
Source: RNAcentral